This 235-nucleotide long non-coding RNA is filed under the name Linum usitatissimum (flax). RNAcentral's name for it is "long non-coding RNA (LUSI_LNC005937)". The record is from RNAcentral. Lineage: Eukaryota; Viridiplantae; Streptophyta; Magnoliopsida; Malpighiales; Linaceae.
UUCCAUUGCAAGCAAAACACGAAGGGCGACCCUUAAGGUCCGUCAUCUUCCCAAACAUUCUGAGACUUGGGGCGUGGGUCGGAGACUGGUUACUUCCGAAUCUAGCUAAAGUUGUGAUUACCCCUAUUUGGAAAAAGCCGCUAUCUCAAAAAAAUGAAUGAAAAAAAUUUAAAAAGGAAGAAAAGAAAAAGAAGAUGAAAAGCAAAGAAAAGCGAAAUGAAAGUAAGUUGUAUAU